Molecule: ribosomal RNA, 748 nt
Filed under: uncultured bacterium
Lineage: Bacteria
Description: bacterial SSU rRNA
Rfam family: Bacterial small subunit ribosomal RNA
Source: RNAcentral
GCUUUACACAUNGCAAGUCGAACGGCAGCACGGAGCUUGCUCUGGUGGCGAGUGGCGAACGGGUGAGUAAUGCGUCGGAACGUAUCCAAUAAUGGGGGAUAACGCAGCGAAAGCUGUGCUAAUACCGCAUACGCCCUGAGGGGGAAAGCAGGGGAUCUUCGGACCUUGCGUUAGUGGAGCGGCCGACGUCUGUUUAGCUAGUUGGUAGGGUAAAGGCCUACCAAGGCGACGAUCAGUAGCUGGUCUGAGAGGAUGAUCAGCCACACUGGAACUGAGACACGGUCCAGACUCCUACGGGAGGCAGCAGUGGGGAAUUUUGGACAAUGGGGGAAACCCUGAUCCAGCCAUUCCGCGUGAGUGAAGAAGGCCUUCGGGUUGUAAAGCUCUUUCAGGAGGGAAGAAACGAUUAUGGUUAAUAACCAUGAUUAAUGACGGUACCUUCAGAAGAAGCACCGGCUAACUACGUGCCAGCAGCCGCGGUAAUACGUAGGGUGCGAGCGUUAAUCGGAAUUACUGGGCGUAAAGCGUGCGCAGGCGGUUUAUCAAGUCUGAUGUGAAAGCCCCGGGCUUAACCUGGGAACGGCGUUGGAAACUGAUAAACUAGAGUACGGCAGAGGGGGGUAGAAUUCCACGUGUAGCAGUGAAAUGCGUAGAUAUGUGGAGGAAUACCGAUGGCGAAGGCAGCCCCCUGGGUCGAUACUGACGCUCAUGCACGAAAGCGUGGGUAGCAAACAGGAUUAGAUACCCU